AGAUUCUUGAAGGUGCAGUAGAUGCUUCGACCGUGGUGUCUAAUAAGCUGCUUUCCGAUGUGACAACUCGUUUCCUGAGGUUCCAUCCUAAGACCUGGGUUGGUACUAUUGCAAUGAGAGUUGAAGUUUUCGCUGAAGCUGCAGGUAGGAACGACGUAUACAGUUAAAGAUUUGUAACCGCCUAGAUCUCUAGAGAUAACAGUUUAGAACUGAUAGAGAUAUCCAGUAUAAAUAAAGUUAGUUUAGUUUAAGUUUCCUCCUGUAGUAACACUGGAUCAAUAAGAGAUAUCUUUACUGGACCUCUAUGGAGAACAGUUUAGAAUCUCCAGCAUAAAUAAGUAUAAUUUAGAAAGUGUCUUAAAAUUUUCAGCGGAGAACUACCAAGGGUGUUUCAUAGACGGAGGAGGGCUUACACGUGAAGACAUAUACGACGGGGAUAAUAUGACUCCAGAAAUUUGUACGACUAUAUGCGGUCAGAGCGGGACAACUUACGCUUAUCUGAAAGCUGGUACCCAGUGC
This is a non-coding RNA of Paramuricea clavata, 519 nucleotides long. Lineage: Eukaryota; Metazoa; Cnidaria; Anthozoa; Malacalcyonacea; Plexauridae. The record is from the annotation of a GenBank genome assembly.